UACGUAGGGUGCGAGCGUUAAUCGGAAUUACUGGGCGUAAAGCGUGCGCAGGCGGUUUUGUAAGACAGAGGUGAAAUCCCCGGGCUCAACCUGGGAACUGCAUCCGAAACUGCCUUGCUCGAGUAUGGGAGAGGGAAGUGGAAUUUCCGGUGUAGCGGUGAAAUGCGUAGAUAUCAAGCGGAACACCGGUGGCGAAGGCGGCCUUCUGGACAGUGACUGACGCUGAGACGCGAAAGCGUGGGGAGCAAACAGG
RNAcentral lists this ribosomal RNA (253 nucleotides) under uncultured bacterium. Its description in RNAcentral is "partial 16S ribosomal RNA". It matches the Rfam family "Bacterial small subunit ribosomal RNA", at positions 524 to 776 of the family's 1533-position model. The record is from RNAcentral.